RNAcentral lists this ribosomal RNA (473 nucleotides) under uncultured organism. RNAcentral describes it as "partial 16S ribosomal RNA". It matches the Rfam family "Bacterial small subunit ribosomal RNA", at positions 335 to 799 of the family's 1533-position model. The record is from RNAcentral.
ACUCCUGCGGGAGGCAGCAGUGGGGAAUUUUGGACAAUGGGCGAAAGCCUGAUCCAGCAAUGCCGCGUGAGUGAAGAAGGCCUUCGGGUUGUAAAGCUCUUUUGUCAGGGAAGAAACGGUGAAAGCUAAUAUCUUUUGCUAAUGACGGUACCUGAAGAAUAAGCACCGGCUAACUACGUGCCAGCAGCCGCGGUAAUACGUAGGGUGCAAGCGUUAAUCGGAAUUACUGGGCGUAAAGCGUGCGCAGGCGGUUUUGUAAGUCUGAUGUGAAACCCCCGGGCUCAACCGGGGAAUUGCAUUGGAGACUGCAAGGCUAGAAUCUGGCAGAGGGGGGUAGAAUUCCACGUGUAGCAGUGAAAUGCGUAGAUAUGUGGAGGAACACCGAUGGCGAAGGCAGCCCCCUGGGUCAAGAUUGACGCUCAUGCACGAAAGCGUGGGGAGCAAACAGGAUUAGAUACCCCUGUAGUCCCAUG